CUCUCAUCCAUUAUCACCAGUUCAAACACAAAUUUUUUUCGAAGAUAUAUUAUCAAUGAAAUUUACAUAAUUUAUAUUUCUUUUUGUCAGUAGGCAAGUAACUCAAAUAAAUUACAUCAGACGAACACUUGUAUGAUCUCUAAGACCAUCUCGAUCUUGUAUUUUAACAUGCCUGAUUGCCCUCUUUCAUGCCUUUCUGAAGAAAAUUACAAAUGAAAAUUGCAACAUAAGGCUAGUCUCCCUGAAUCAUACACCACAGAGGAACACCAGCAACGGGAAAAGCUACUAGAUCUACAUCAAAGGGAAAUACUUGAUUCGCUUUUUCAGAUGACGGAUGAUAAACAAAAUCAUAUAUACAAGGCAUUAGAAUGUCCUGUUCCCUGUCCAUCUUGCAAAAUACUCCCAACUUCAAUUUUGUCUCGUGAAAACAGUGUCAAUGACUUGUCUCAGAUUAGAACAGCCGAUGACUUUUAGCCCCUCAAAACCUACAGUUGAUAGAUAUUUUUCAGCUGAUUUGGGAACAAUACACAUUUUGUAUCCCAGUUUGGCCACUGUAUUUACUCUUUUCUCCAUUCUAGGUACCGUGCGUAGCUCACCGCCAAGGCCAAUUUCUCCAAUAAAUGCAACGUUAUUGGGAAUAGGGAACUCCAAGAAACUACUGCAAAUUGCAGCUGCUAUUGCAAGAUCUCCAGCAGUCUCAGUCAAUGUCACUCCACUAACAACAUUUAAAAAGAUACUCUAAUGCAAAAAAGGAAUAAAAAUAGUUAAUCACAAUGAUUUUUAACCAAAAUAUCUUCAAUAUUGCUAAAAUUGAUGCAAACAAAACAUAAAAUCACAACCAUUCCAACAUACUUCACUUAAAACCAAUUUUCUACCACGCAAAAAAAAUGAGACAGAAAGUUAAUAUUGUAGAAUUGUGCAAGUGCAUUCUAUCAUAAGUUCUUAAACAAAAUUAUAUACUAUGCAUAUUUCAGUCUAAACUUGAAAAUUUGCCUGUGAUUCUGCUCUUCUUCUUCACAUUACUCACUUCCUUCACACAUAUUCGUAAAUUCAUUGACAGUACCAUAAACUGGAAGAAGAUAAUGAAAGAAAAAGAGACUACAAAUUGCCUUGUACAGCAACUAGUACAAUGCAUUCUACAUUUCUUUAUAUUUCCAUAAUUUUCUAUUUCCAUCUUUAAGAAAAAAGGCAAUGAUGCCAAUCUUUAUGUCAUCCCUGUUUCGAAACUUUAAAGCUUGAUGAAAAUUAAACACAGGAAAAAGGAAAACCAAAUUCAAGCCUUACAAGUAUCUUUUAGAACAGGCAAAUAGAAAACCAACACACAGAAAAUAUUUCCAAAGAGAAGGAUAUGUAGAAUGUAGAUAUUGACUUACGUUCUCUUGGAGCAUUAAACCAGCUUGCUUCUUAAGAACUGAUAUAAUCAUGUCAGCUCUGCUAGCUUGUACCCCAUUAACAUGCCUUGAAACUGAUGAACCAGUGGCACAUAAAGCCUGAAUUUCAAGAAGGAAACUUCGAGAUCCAUCCAUUAUUACUGCAACAGCUAGCCCAACUAAAAUCUCUGAACCCAAGUACUGCUCACUUAAGAAUAUCUCACUUGGAUUUGAAACAGCUUGCAGACCUGAUUGUGACAUUUCAAAUACUCCAAGCUCAUCAGUGGAUCCAAAGCGAUUCUUCACAGGCCGAAGUAAGCGAUGAGUUGAAUGCUUCUCACCUUCCAAAUAUAAAACAACAUCAACGAUGUGCUCCAAGACCCGAGGCCCUGCUAUAUCUCCAGAUUUGUUCACGUGUCCAAUCAAAAGAACUGGUAUUUUUGUCUUCUUGGCAAAACGCAGCAAAGCUGAUGUGCAUUCCUUAACCUGAGACAAUCCUCCAGCACUUCCAGUGACUCCUUGUAUAUAAACUGUUUGAAUUGAAUCAAUAAUUAGAGCACGGGGGAAUAGAGGCUGAAUUUUCCCUAAUAUGUCCUCAAUAUCAGUACUUGAAUACAAAAAUAUUUCCUCCACUCCAAUCCUUAUGCGGUCGGCCCUGUUAACAAUUUGCUCAAUACUCUCUUCUCCAGAGACAUACACAACUGGAGUUUGUUUGCCUACGUCUUGUCCUUCAGCAAUUAUUGCAGCAAUCUGCAAUAACAGGGUGCUCUUGCCAACACCAGGAUCACCACCAACCAAAAUCAAAGAACCUGGAACAAGACCACCACCAAGUACCCUAGCAACUUCACUUCCAAAGAGUCCAGGCAAAGGAAUCCUCCAAUUCAACUGAUCCAUCUUCUGGUUCACAUCUUUCAACUUCAAUGGUUGUGCGUCACCAACUUUCUGUGGUAGCCAAGACCGCACUGCAUUUUCAGAAACCCCCAUCCCACUUACUUUACCCGCACUCCCAACAUCCCUUUCUAUAAACUGCUUCAUUGUUCCUGCCAGGCGACAUUCUCGACAGAUUCCCCACCAUUGCCCAUCUUCAUACCCACAAUUCUCGCAAACAUAAAUAAUUUUACUCUUUCCCUUCUUUCUACUCCCAACUAUCUUCCCAGCUCCCACUUCCUUGAGCAAAUCGGUCUUCUUCAAACCCCCAUACCUCUUUUCGUUCAGAAAAUCCUCAUUUUCAUGACUAUAAUGCACUAACCCCAUCCGGAUUUUGUCUCUAUCACUCAAUUUCUCUGUCUUCAAACCGCUAUAAAUGUUUUCCUUCGAUAAAUUGUUUAUUUCUUCGUCAGAACUCUCCAAGUCCAAAUGAACACUGUCCCCUUCACUCAAAUUUCCCUUUCUUGCGCUCCCAUAAGUCCUCUCUACAUCGGUACCCACAAAUUCCGUUGAGAAAUUUGACAAUCCAGGCUUGAAUUCUUGCUCAUCGCCCUUAUUUAUGCUCGACGAGACUGAACCAUAAAUACUCCAAACUUGACGGGCACUCUCAUUACCAUUACCAUUCCUUGUCUCGCCAGAAUCAGAGUCGGUUAUGGAGGAGUGGGAACCAAGAGCGGACUCUCCGGCGCAGAAACGAUGGGAGGUGGGAUGGAAUUGACGGUGAUGCAGGGAGAAAGGCCUGAGGGUUCUUGUGGGGUUUAAGAAGAAAAAGUGUUUGUGUGUGCAGAAUGACCUUACGGCUUUCAUGUCAAGGAUUUGCAUGAGAGGGAUGUAGUAAAACCCUAAUA
RNAcentral lists this unclassified non-coding RNA (3145 nucleotides) under Hevea brasiliensis (rubber tree). The record is from RNAcentral. Lineage: Eukaryota; Viridiplantae; Streptophyta; Magnoliopsida; Malpighiales; Euphorbiaceae.